CUUCAAAGCUCAAAUGGUCCCAAAAAACUAACCCUCAUCUCUAAUAUGGCCUUGGGCAACCUCCUCGAAGCCCAUUGGUCAUGAUUUUUGACCUAUAGGAAUGGAGAUUUUCAUCAUCCAUCUCCAUUCAUCUAUAUGGAUGCCUUGAACUCUCUUUUUAAUACCAAAAUCCCUCUUUAACUCUUUUCUUUACAAGAUUUACUCAAUAUAUGCCCUAAACACCAAAUUAAAGAAUCAAAAUAAGACUUCAAGUGUCACCAAUGUCUAAUAAAGUUUAUUCUAAAUAUUUAAAAUCACUA
This 299-nucleotide long non-coding RNA is filed under the name Physcomitrium patens. Its description in RNAcentral is "long non-coding RNA (PPAT_LNC011804)". Lineage: Eukaryota; Viridiplantae; Streptophyta; Bryopsida; Funariales; Funariaceae. The record is from RNAcentral.